GCAGCCACCAUUUAAAGAGUGCGUAAUAGCUCACUGGUCAAGUGAUUCUGCGCCGACAAUUUAGCGGGGCUCAAGCUAUCCGCCGAAGUUGUGGCAUUCCUUGUUAUGGGGGAUGGGUAGGGGAGCGUCGUGUGUGCGGUGAAGCUGCGGGGUGACCCAGUGGUGGAGUGCACACGAGUGAGAAUGCAGGCAUGAGUAGCGAAUGACGGGUGAGAAACCCGUCCGCCGAAUAACCAAGGGUUCCAGGGUCAAGCUAAUCUGCCCUGGGUAAGUCGGGACCUAAGGCGAGGCCGACAGGCGUAGUCGAUGGACAACGGGUUGAUAUUCCCGUACCGGCGUGUGCACGUCCGUGCCAAGUUGGGUGAUGCUAAGAAUGGAAGAUUGUUCCUUGCCUUCGGGUGGGGGAUGGUUGACUCUUCGAUCCGAACUCGAGGCGGCAAGCUGCGGAGGGACGCAGGAAGGUAGCUCAUCCCGGGCGAUGGUUGUCCCGGGCUAAGUGUGUAGGACGGGGUGUAGGCAAAUCCGCGCCCCAUGGGUCUGAGACAUGAUGGCUGGGUGGGAUACGUCCCAUCGAGUGGGUGAUCCUAUGCUGCCUAGAAAAUCUUCGUGAGCGAGUGUGCAAGCCGCCCGUACCCUAAACCGACUCAGGUGGUUAGGUAGAGAAUACCAAGGCGAUCGAGAUAAUCGUGGUGAAGGAACUCGGCAAAAUGCCCCCGUAACUUCGGAAUAAGGGGGACCUGAUCCGUGAAGCAGUUGCUGUGUAAGCGGUGAGGGUCGCAGAGACCACAGGAAAGCGACUGUUUAUUAAAAACACAGGUCCGUGCGAAGUUGUAAGACGAUGUAUACGGACUGACUCCUGCCCGGUGCUGGAAGGUUAAGGGGACGUGUUA
RNAcentral lists this ribosomal RNA (890 nucleotides) under Astrosyne radiata. RNAcentral describes it as "partial Bacterial large subunit ribosomal RNA". It matches the Rfam family "Bacterial large subunit ribosomal RNA", at positions 1112 to 1892 of the family's 2925-position model. The record is from RNAcentral. Lineage: Eukaryota; Bacillariophyta; Fragilariophyceae; Cyclophorales; Cyclophoraceae.